GACGAACGCUGGCGGCGUGCCUAACACAUGCAAGUCGAACGGAGAUAGUUAAUGAAGCUUGCGAUUUAGCUAUCUUAGUGGCGAACGGGUGAGUAACGCGUGGGUAACCUGCCCUUAAGACCGGGACAACAGCUGGAAACGGCUGCUAAUACCGGAUGUAUUGUCCGAGAGGCAUCUCUUGGAGAAGAAAGCUGGCCUCUGAAAAUGCUAGCGCUUAGGGAUGGACCCGCGUCUGAUUAGCUAGUUGGUGGGGUAAAAGCCUACCAAGGCGACGAUCAGUAGCCGGCCUGAGAGGGUAAACGGCCACACUGGGACUGAGACACGGCCCAGACUCCUACGGGAGGCAGCAGUGGGGAAUCUUCCGCAAUGGACGAAAGUCUGACGGAGCAACGCCGCGUGUAUGAAGAAGGCCUUCGGGUUGUAAAAUACUGUUGUUAGGGAAGAACGGCAUCUGUGUAAAUAAUGCAGGUGAUUGACGGUACCUAACGAGGAAGCCCCGGCUAACUACGUGCCAGCAGCCGCGGUAAUACGUAGGGGGCAAGCGUUGUCCGGAAUCAUUGGGCGUAAAGGGCGCGUAGGCGGCUAUAUAAGUCUGAUGUGAAAGUGCGGAGCUUAACU
This 618-nucleotide ribosomal RNA is filed under the name uncultured bacterium. Its description in RNAcentral is "bacterial SSU rRNA". It matches the Rfam family "Bacterial small subunit ribosomal RNA", at positions 28 to 614 of the family's 1533-position model. The record is from RNAcentral.